This 253-nucleotide ribosomal RNA is filed under the name uncultured bacterium. Its description in RNAcentral is "partial 16S ribosomal RNA". It matches the Rfam family "Bacterial small subunit ribosomal RNA", at positions 524 to 776 of the family's 1533-position model. The record is from RNAcentral.
UACAGGGGGUGCAAACGUUGCUCGGAAUUAUUGGGCGUAAAGCGCGCGUAGGCGGCUACUUAAGUCGGAUGUGAAAGCCCUCGGCUUAACUGAGGAAGUGCACCCGAAACUGAGUAGCUAGAGUACGAAAGAGGGUCGCGGAAUUCCCGGUGUAGAGGUGAAAUUCGUAGAUAUCGGGAGGAACACCGGUGGCGAAGGCGGCGACCUGGGUCGAGACUGACGCUGAGGCGCGAAAGCGUGGGGAGCAAACAGG